AGCUCCAAUAGCGUAUAUUAAAGUUGUUGCAGUUAAAAAGCUCGUAGUUGGAUGUUUGGGUGCGAUUCUGGUGUGCAGGCGGUGAAAGCCGUUUUUUGCGUGCCGGCGGACUCAUUCCUCCUGAAGAGCACGUCUGGCAUUUAUUUGUCUAGGCGAGUUAUGCGCUUCAGGUCGUUUACUUUGAGCAAAUUAGAGUGUUCAAAGCAGGCGUUUUUGCCUUGAAUACCUUAGCAUGGAAUAAUGAAAUAGGACUUGGUUUCUGUUUUGUUGGUUUCUAGAAGCCGAGUAAUGAUUAAUAGGAACAGUUGGGGCCGUUCAUAUUUCGUUGUCAGAGGUGAAAUUCUUAGAUUGACGGAAGAUGAACUACUGCGAAAGCAUUCGGCAAGGAUGUUUUCA
Molecule: ribosomal RNA, 396 nt
Filed under: uncultured eukaryote
Lineage: Eukaryota
Description: SSU rRNA
Rfam family: Eukaryotic small subunit ribosomal RNA
Source: RNAcentral